This 253-nucleotide ribosomal RNA is filed under the name uncultured bacterium. RNAcentral describes it as "partial 16S ribosomal RNA". It matches the Rfam family "Bacterial small subunit ribosomal RNA", at positions 524 to 776 of the family's 1533-position model. The record is from RNAcentral.
UACGUAGGGUGCGAGCGUUGUCCGGAAUCACUGGGCGUAAAGCGCACGCAGGCGGAUCGAUAAGUCGGGGGUGAAAGCCCGGGGCUCAACCUCGGAAUUGCCUUCGAUACUGUCGGUCUCGAGUCCGGGAGAGGUGAGUGGAAUUCCUAGUGUAGAGGUGAAAUUCGUAGAUAUUAGGAAGAACACCAGUGGCGAAGGCGGCUCACUGGCCCGGUACUGACGCUCAGGUGCGAAAGCGUGGGGAGCAAACAGG